UUUACUUGAUUUCUUCUCUUUGGUGUAUAUAAUAAUUCAAAUAAUUAAACCAUCUCCCUUUCUUAAACACACUCUAACUCCAUUUUUUUACAUAACACCUUAAAUAUUUUGUGAUAUCCUUCCCUUUAAAUUAAUCAAUCUUGUCUACAACUGCUUGUAAUGCUUUGUUUGUCAUACCAUCUUGGUGAUCUUUAAACUAUUGUUAUUGCAUGAAUAAGACAAAAGCUUCAAACAUGCUUACGAAAUUGGGAUCAAAAUACAUACUUUAUUCUCCAUUAGUAUUGUCACUUAUAACUCCAAUUGAAGCACCACCCAUAGCUCCCCCUUUAACUUUCUUUCCUUCCUUCUCUAUAAUUGAAAUAAUCCAAGAAUACCUCAUACCUUCCAACUCAAGUCUUUUACAUCAAAUUCAUGAAAUAUGUCAUUUUAUAUGAAGUCUUACUCGAAAAUGCAUUGACCACUUAAUUGUGGGAGAUAGAAUGGAAAUUACAACAGAAAAAUUCUAACUUUAAUAUAAUACCAAAUAAACAAUAAUUAAAUCCUAACAAUGUUAACCAAGCUUUAAUCAAAUUCAAAAGAAACUUUUAAAAAAAUACAAAAAUAACAAUAAAAAAUCUUAAAGGAGUUCAAAAGAAAUCCACAAUAAUUUUUAAAAUAAUACCUAAGAAAUCCUAAAGAAAUAUUAAAAUAUUCACAAAUAUAUCUUAAAUAAAUCUCAAAUAAGUCCUAAUUUAAUCCUAGUUGAAAUCCUAAUAGACUUCAAUCAAAUCUUAGGCCAAACCCUAAAUUCUAAAUAAUCUUUAAUCCUAAAUUCUAAAAAAAUCUUAAAUCUUAAAUCCUAAUUAAAUUCUAAAUCCUAACCAAACCUUAAUUAAAUUUUAAAUCAUCGGUCAAUCCUAAUCCUAAACCAAAUCCUAAUCAAAACCUAACGAAUUCAACCCAAUUGUAAUAUAAUUUAAAACCUCAAUAUCUAUCAAUUAAAUCAUUGAUCUUGCUUAAAUUUUAUAUACU
This 1011-nucleotide long non-coding RNA is filed under the name Physcomitrium patens. Its description in RNAcentral is "long non-coding RNA (PPAT_LNC001254)". Lineage: Eukaryota; Viridiplantae; Streptophyta; Bryopsida; Funariales; Funariaceae. The record is from RNAcentral.